RNAcentral lists this unclassified non-coding RNA (253 nucleotides) under Hevea brasiliensis (rubber tree). Lineage: Eukaryota; Viridiplantae; Streptophyta; Magnoliopsida; Malpighiales; Euphorbiaceae. The record is from RNAcentral.
AAUUAGAACAAAAAUCUGUCUUGAGUUUAAAAACAAACUAGCAUUUCCUAAUCAACAGAUUGAUAGAAAUACUUCAAAUUAUCCCCCUUAAAAAUUGCAAUGCUAAAUCAAUUCCUUCACAUAUACUCCAUACUAAUGGAUUUAAUUUAAUUCUUUCCCAAGCCUCGUCCUAAUAUUUUCCCCGUCAACCCACUCCAAAUAAGCCUAACAGAAAGACAAGUAGAAAGGAGAGAAGAAAUGAUGACUAGACCAG